GUGCUCGCUUUGGCAGCACAUAUACUAAAAUUGGAAUGAUACAGAGAAGAUUAGCAUGGCCCCUGCACAAGGAUGACAUGCAAAUUCAUGAAGCGUUCCAUAUUUUU
Heterocephalus glaber (naked mole-rat) is the source of this 107-nucleotide small nuclear RNA. The record is from Ensembl. Lineage: Eukaryota; Metazoa; Chordata; Mammalia; Rodentia; Bathyergidae.